This 660-nucleotide ribosomal RNA is filed under the name uncultured euryarchaeote. Its description in RNAcentral is "bacterial SSU rRNA". It matches the Rfam family "Archaeal small subunit ribosomal RNA", at positions 83 to 748 of the family's 1478-position model. Lineage: Archaea; Methanobacteriati; Methanobacteriota. The record is from RNAcentral.
CGGCUCAGUAACACGUGGAUAACCUACCCUCAGAUCUGGGAUAACUCCGGGAAACUGGAGAUAAUACCGGAUAAUCCGUGAACGCUGGAAUGCCUCACGGUUGAAAGCUUUUGCGUCUGAGGAUGGGUCUGCGGCCGAUUAGGUAGUUGCUGGGGUAACGUCCCAACAAGCCGAUAAUCGGUACGGGUUGUGAGAGCAAGAGCCCGGAGAUGGAUUCUGAGACACGAAUCCAGGUCCUACGGGGCGCAGCAGGCGCGAAAACUUUACACUGCGCGAAAGCGCGAUAAGGGGACCUCGAGUGCGUGCGCAAUGCGUACGCUUUUCAGAUGCCUAAAAAGCAUGUGGAAUAAGGGCCGGGCAAGACCGGUGCCAGCCGCCGCGGUAACACCGGCGGCUCAAGUGGUGGCCGCUAUUAUUGGGCUUAAAGGGUCCGUAGCCGGACCAGUUAGUCCCUUGGGAAAUCUUACGGCUUAACCGUAAGGCUGCCAAUGGAUACUGCUGGUCUUGGGACCGGGAGAGGUAAGAGGUACCUCAGGGGUAGGAGUGAAAUCCUGUAAUCCUUGAGGGACCGCCAGUGGCGAAGGCGUCUUACUAGAACGGGUCCGACGGUGAGGGACGAAAGCUAGGGGCACGAACCGGAUUAGAUACCCGGGUAGUCCU